Struthio camelus australis is the source of this 1328-nucleotide non-coding RNA. Lineage: Eukaryota; Metazoa; Chordata; Aves; Struthioniformes; Struthionidae. The record is from RefSeq and is a predicted model, not a curated record.
ACAGUUUUGAAGCAUAGCAUCCUACCUGUUUUCCUUCUCUGAAGUGUUUGUCAACCACACAAAUGCUAACAAGUGAGCUUGGCCUGAAGGACUCCCCAGCAUCCUUGAGUGCAGCCUUUUGACCAAAUGGAAAGUCAGGCUACAGGGAGAACUAUGCUAACAGAUGCAGCUUGCAGACACAAGUGGACUUUGGCAUGGCAGAGCGCGGUAGCUGGCGUUUACCACUUCCGUCUGCCCUGUUCACAUUCUCCACCUUUCCCCCCGCAUAUACUGAUCUGCUUCAGCCCACUCAUGUGUGACCACCCGCCACUCUUCUCUCCUACUGCAGUGUCAGAUCCGCUGAUGGUUCUGCCUCAGCCAUCAAAGGGUCAGUUUUCACCUCCACUAAAUAUACUCCACAAGUUUUUGCUGAUGGGGGAAGUGGCUUCUAAGUUAUUCCAGCUUUGAAAAAUGCCUGGCUGUGGGGCACACAAAAGUCCCAUCGCUGCUCUGUCAUUGCAGCCAACACCUUAUGCGCUCCAACUCCCAGGAAGGGGAAACUGAGAAAAACAUCUUGAAAUGGUUGCCUUACAUACAUCUAGAAAGAAAAGGAGGGCAAGACUGGGAGGGAGAGAAGAAAGAGAAAGACCUGUGAGUAACAUCCAAAUCCCAAGCCUGAAAGAUUCUGGAUCUCCUGGUCAAAUUGGCAUGUCUUAUCAACUUACCUUCUCCAUGAGAGCUGCAAGAACCAUGUUCUUUCUUUAAAGCUCAAGUUAUCUCGGAUUCACCGUCGGUCCUGUGCCCCUGUGGUUCUCCAGCUACAGAAUUAUAUUAGCAAACAUCACCACAUAUUUUAGUCCUAGAUAUUGUUAUGGAGAUGCUGCACGGUAUUUGCGGUUUCCUGAUGUUCCUACUGGCCUGAUUAUGCACAGAUUCUCCAAGAACGCAUACGUGCUGCAGAUAUGUUACAAAUGACCUUGGAGGUCUCUCUAUUAAAGAAAACUCCCUAGAGAAUUGUUGGUAGACUGCAGCUCCCACCUAAUGGUUGGUGGGGAGGGCUGAUUUUGGGGGAGGGGGGAAUGUGUGUGGGUGGCUUCUGUUUGCAACAGAUACGUAACAAACGUAGAGGCAGAGUAUGAAAAUGUACCUCACAUGGAAAAUUAGGUAGAAUAGAAAUCUACAGUGAAAAUUUCUUUUCUCCAUUUACAGCGAGUCUAAGAAAUCUGUACCGCUAUGGAUCCCAGACACUGUAUAUCUGUUUUGCUGCUGCUUAUACUCAGUUGAAUUUUCUGUGUGGGGAUCUCUCAAAAAUAAAGUCUUGUGGAAUUUCUCAGCUGCUUUUAAAAACA